RNAcentral lists this ribosomal RNA (270 nucleotides) under uncultured Rhogostoma. RNAcentral describes it as "partial 18S ribosomal RNA". The stretch from base 97 to 270 matches the Rfam family "Eukaryotic small subunit ribosomal RNA", at positions 780 to 955 of the family's 1831-position model. Lineage: Eukaryota; Cercozoa; Thecofilosea; Cryomonadida. The record is from RNAcentral.
GAUUUCUGGGUGACUGUGCUAGCCCGCUCCUUUCCGGGAGUGUGUGCCGGCAUACUUCUAGAAAGCCUUGCCUGCCGUUCAGUCGGCCGGGCAGGUGCGGUCUAGAUCUAUGAAUACACUAGCAUGGAAUAAUAAUAUAGGACUUUGGUUCUAUUUUGUUGGUUUCUAGGACUGAAGUAAUGAUUGAUAGGGAUAGUUGGGGGUGCUAGUAUUCAGUGGCCAGCGGUGAAAUUCUUGGAUUCACUGAAGACUAACUACUGCGAAAGCAUU